Oncorhynchus kisutch (coho salmon) is the source of this 383-nucleotide long non-coding RNA. RefSeq lists it as uncharacterized. The transcript is spliced from 2 exons. NCBI's taxonomy places the organism in Eukaryota, Metazoa, Chordata, Actinopteri, Salmoniformes, Salmonidae. The record is from RefSeq and is a predicted model, not a curated record.
GUGGGAAGUUAACUUUGUCUUUGUUCAGGGCACAUAGCAUCACAGCCUCUUCAACACUCACCAUGAAGGAGGCAUUGGUCAGAAAGCCCACACACACUGACACCGUACACUGACUAAGACGUAUGAGAAAGAGACAAAGAGCGAGAGGUGACGUCAUCCUCUGCGGCAUUCUGAAUGAACAAGCUGGACAACAACUGUGUUUUGUCCCUCGAGCCAGCGUCAGCACAGCCCCCGGCCGCUUAUCACAUUACUUCUCCCACAGCAAAACAUGAAUCUUCAUUGAGGGAAAUAAAUAAGAGGCCAGCUACAUAAAAACAGACUGAGUCUGCAUCUGUAACGAGAUUUGUCACUCUCUCUUCCCCCUAUUACAGCUGCUGAUGUGA